UCUGGUGUCAGCCGCCGCGGUAAAACCAGCACCUCAAGUGGUCAGGAUGAUUAUUGGGCCUAAAGCAUCCGUAGCCUGCUUUGCCAGUUUUCGGUUAAAUCCAUACGCUCAACGUAUGGGCUGCCGGGAAUACUACAAAGCUAGGGAGUGGGAGAGGUAGACGGUACUCGGUAGGAAGGGGUAAAAUCCUUUGAUCUAUUGAUGACCACCUGUGGCGAAGGCGGUCUACCAGAACACGUCCGACGGUGAGGGAUGAAAGCUGGGGGAGCAAACCGGAUUAGAUACCCGGGUAGUCCCAGCUGUAAACUAUGCAAACUCAGUGAUGCAUUGGCUUGAUGCCAAUGCAGUGCUGCAGGGAAGCCGUUAAGUUUGCCGCCUGGGAAGUACGUACGCAAGUAUGAAACUUAAAG
RNAcentral lists this ribosomal RNA (410 nucleotides) under uncultured Nitrososphaerota archaeon. Its description in RNAcentral is "bacterial SSU rRNA". It matches the Rfam family "Archaeal small subunit ribosomal RNA", at positions 451 to 861 of the family's 1478-position model. The record is from RNAcentral. Lineage: Archaea; Thermoproteati; Nitrososphaerota.